CCUACGGGCGGCAGCAGUGGGGAAUAUUGGGCAAUGGGCGCAAGCCUGACCCAGCAACGCCGCGUGAAGGAAGAAGGCUUUCGGGUUGUAAACUUCUUUUCUCAGGGACGAAGCAAGUGACGGUACCUGAGGAAUAAGCCACGGCUAACUACGUGCCAGCAGCCGCGGUAAUACGUAGGUGGCAAGCGUUAUCCGGAUUUACUGGGUGUAAAGGGCGAGUAGGCGGGAAAGCAAGUCAGAUGUGAAAACCAUGGGCUCAACCUGUUGCCUGCAUUUGAAACUGUUGUUCUUGAGUACUGGAGAGGCAGACGGAAUUCCUGGUGUAGCGGGGAAAUGCGUAGAUAUUAGGAGGAACACCAGUGGCGAAGGCGGGCUGCUGGACAACAACUGACGCUGAGGUGCGAAAGCGUGGGGAGCAAACAGGAUUAGAUACCCCUGUAGUC
RNAcentral lists this ribosomal RNA (443 nucleotides) under uncultured bacterium. Its description in RNAcentral is "partial 16S ribosomal RNA". It matches the Rfam family "Bacterial small subunit ribosomal RNA", at positions 338 to 795 of the family's 1533-position model. The record is from RNAcentral.